UUGACUUUGCUGCUUUUUCAACCUACCGUAAGGACAAAGGGCGAGGAGGGAUUUCUCCCCCCUCUGGUCUCUUAGUAAGCCGGUAAGCUAAUGACUAAGAGAAUGACCAGUAUGAUGACUAACCUCAUCAUAACCCUUUUCCUUUUC
Molecule: small RNA, 147 nt
Filed under: Enterobacter sp. CC120223-11
Lineage: Bacteria; Pseudomonadati; Pseudomonadota; Gammaproteobacteria; Enterobacterales; Enterobacteriaceae
Description: QUAD RNA
Rfam family: Short Intergenic Abundant RNA
About the family: This family contains multiple ncRNA from E. coli that were identified in a large scale screen of E. coli, were they were called candidates 43,55 and 61. These RNAs have also been identified by other groups and called QUAD RNAs.
Source: RNAcentral